Molecule: long non-coding RNA, 674 nt
Organism: Alligator mississippiensis (American alligator)
Lineage: Eukaryota; Metazoa; Chordata; Crocodylia; Alligatoridae
Exons: 3
Source: RefSeq, a predicted model, not a curated record
AACUGGAGGCAGCAAAUGACCCACACCUGACAGCCGUUAGCUGGCUGUAGGGGGCAAGGCCUGGCCUUUGUGAAGCCCAGGGCUGAGGCCAGGCUGGCAGUUCCCUGCCAGCAGCCAGAGAGACAGGAGCUCCCUCAGCCAUGAUACGAGAAGCAGUGAGAACUUACAAGCAAGAUUAUAUCUUCUCCAUUUCUGUUCAAGCCCUGUAAAUCUACUCGAGCCUCUCCACCAGCUGAAAAUCUACUUUUAAGAGGAUUCAUUCUAAGGCAAUUCAGCACAAUUGAUAUAAAUCAGAAAAUCAAAAGAAAAAUUCUGCUCUUUCUUACAUUCUGACAGAAGUAAAAAGCUCACAUGAAGCCUAUUCUAAAGACUACUGAGAUAAAUUAAAAGAUUCCUAAUUGACUUCCAUGUGCACUGGAUCAGAUCCACAAUACUUACAUAUUUAUUAAAUACCAAGAGAAGAAUUUCCUGGAAUACUGAUUUCACAUGGACUUAACUGCACAUUAAAUGCAUUUUUAAAAAUUAUGGAAAAUGUAUUCAACUGUAUCAAUUUAAAAAAAACUCCAAAACAAGUGAUAUUUGGGCAGAAAUAAGAAUAUAGCCAGUUAAAUUAAAGUCUUUUUUCUACAACAAGUUCCAUGUGUUGCCUUUGCAUAUGUGAAGCUGUUUUGAAA